Molecule: ribosomal RNA, 468 nt
Filed under: uncultured bacterium
Lineage: Bacteria
Description: partial 16S ribosomal RNA
Rfam family: Bacterial small subunit ribosomal RNA
Source: RNAcentral
GACGAACGCUGGCGGCGUGCUUAACACAUGCAAGUCGAACGGAAAAGCCCUGCUUUUGUGGGGUGCUCGAGUGGCGAACGGGUGAGUAACACGUGAGUAACCUGCCCUUGACUUUGGGAUAACUUCAGGAAACUGGGGCUAAUACCGGAUAGGAGCUCCUGCUGCAUGGUGGGGGUUGGAAAGUUUCGGCGGUUGGGGAUGGACUCGCGGCUUAUCAGCUUGUUGGUGGGGUAGUGGCUUACCAAGGCUUUGACGGGUAGCCGGCCUGAGAGGGUGACCGGCCACAUUGGGACUGAGAUACGGCCCAGACUCCUACGGGAGGCAGCAGUGGGGAAUAUUGCACAAUGGGCGGAAGCCUGAUGCAGCAACGCCGCGUGCGGGAUGACGGCCUUCGGGUUGUAAACCGCUUACGCCUGUGACGAAGCGUGAGUGACGGUAAUGGGUAAAGAAGCACCGGCUAACUACGUG